AGAGUUUGAUCCUGGCUCAGGAUGAACGCUAGCGGCAGGCUAACACAUGCAAGUCGCGGGGCAGCAUUUCCAGCUUGCUGGGAGAUGGCGACCGGGCACGGGUGCGCAACGCGUAUGGAACCUGCCUUGUACAGGGGAAUAGCCCAGGGAAACUUGGAUUAAUGCCCCAUGGCGCCACUUCGCGGAAUCGCGAUAUGGCUAAAGCCUUAGGGCGGUAUAAGAUGCCAUGCGUCCCAUUAGCUUGUUGGUGCGGUAACGGCGCACCAAGGCGACGAUGGGUAGGGGCCCUGAGAGGGGGAUCCCCCACACUGGUACUGAGACACGGACCAGACUCCUACGGGAGGCAGCAGUGAGGAAUAUUGGACAAUGGGCGAUAGCCUGAUCCAGCCAUGCCGCGUGCAGGAAGACCGCCCUAUGGGUCGUAAACUGCUUUUGUACGGGAAGAACAAGGGGCACGGGUGCCCCCCUGACGGUACCGUAAGAAUAAGGAUCGGCUACUCCGUGCCAGCAGCCGCGGUAAUACGGAGGAUCCGAGCGUUAUCCGGAAUUAUUGGGUUUAAAGGGUCCGUAGGCGGGCCGUUAAGUCAGGGGUGAAAGUCUGCGGCUCAACCGUAGGACUGCCCUUGAUACUGGCGGCCUUGAGUUAUGGUGAAGUGGCUAGAAUAUGUGGUGUAGCGGUGAAAUGCAUAGAGAUCACAUGGAAUACCGAUUGCGAAGGCAGGCCACUAACCAUAUACUGACGCUGAUGGACGAAAGCGUGGGGAGCGAACAGGAUUAGAUACCCUAGUAGUCC
This 793-nucleotide ribosomal RNA is filed under the name uncultured bacterium. RNAcentral's name for it is "bacterial SSU rRNA". It matches the Rfam family "Bacterial small subunit ribosomal RNA", at positions 8 to 796 of the family's 1533-position model. The record is from RNAcentral.